UACGGAGGAUCCAAGCGUUAUCCGGAAUCAUUGGGUUUAAAGGGUCCGUAGGCGGUUUAAUAAGUCAGUGGUGAAAGCCCAUCGCUCAACGGUGGAACGGCCAUUGAUACUGUUAAACUUGAAUUAUUAGGAAGUAACUAGAAUAUGUAGUGUAGCGGUGAAAUGCUUAGAGAUUACAUGGAAUACCAAUUGCGAAGGCAGGUUACUACUAAUGGAUUGACGCUGAGGGACGAAAGCGUGGGUAGCGAACAGG
Molecule: ribosomal RNA, 253 nt
Filed under: uncultured bacterium
Lineage: Bacteria
Description: partial 16S ribosomal RNA
Rfam family: Bacterial small subunit ribosomal RNA
Source: RNAcentral